UACAAUCAUGUUCAAAUGAUGACCAUAAGCAUCACAUCUACCAGCCCCCAACUUUGCACUAUGUGACAUCAUCCUUCUGGUUGAACUAGCUGAAAGCUGUUAAGAGUAUGCCAGGUAUGACCAUGCCACCCAGGGAAGAAGGAAAAGGCCUACAAAGAAUUUAAAGCUAAUCUGAAUGCUUCCUUUAAAGCUUGUUCAGAUCUCUGUACAUUAUCAUAAACAAGAGCUCUCUCUAAACCUUGCCACUGGCUGCUCUUUUUACCCUCAGAUUUGUCCCCCUUCAGACACGAGAAAAGGCAUUUGAAGUUACUGAGAAUAAGUUGUUUACUUCCUAAGACCAUUGGUGGAAGCUUCCAGUAGUGUAGGUAGUGUAGACCAUCCCAGCUGGAGACACAAUGGACAUACCUGUGUUUGAGGCAGAAGACAAGAAGAGUCCAGAGGACAUAGAGGUCCAUGGAGAAGGUUAUAAAGUUCAGGUAAACAGCAGGAAUCUUUUUAUGGCCUCUGUUUGUUGACCCCUCUUCUGGUUACACUGAUGGAGAAGAAAAUCAACAUUCCUGCACAUGGAAACACAUUCCUUCUCGGAGUCACAACAUUGCAGUGCUUCGCAAAGGGGCAGCAGCAUGGCUGUCACCAAAGCAGGCACUGUGGACAUGCCAGCAACCAAGUCUGCAUACUCCAGACAGAUAAACCCAGCACUGACAGAAGCAGCCUCCACAGAUAUAGGAGAUAAAGGAGCCAGCAGGGAAUGGUGGACACUUUUGCUAUGUACUCAGAAAGUCUUAACAUGGCUACAGCAAGUGGAACAAGCCUGUCCCUGUCUUCAAAGGGUAGUUCCAGCUUAUCAGCAAAAGCUGCCAGUCUCUCCCCAGAAGAUAGGAUGCAUGUGGUCAUUGCAGGAGCUGAGACUGCCUGCAAGCCUGUGGCAGAAACUGUUAAAGAACCAGUAGGGGGACUCCCUCAUAUCAAUCUUGCAAGGUGAAGCCUAUAUAAGUGAGUGGGAUGGAAGCCAGAGAGUC
This 1019-nucleotide long non-coding RNA is filed under the name Homo sapiens (human). RNAcentral describes it as "non-protein coding lnc-GALC-15:1". Lineage: Eukaryota; Metazoa; Chordata; Mammalia; Primates; Hominidae. The record is from RNAcentral.